Molecule: ribosomal RNA, 246 nt
Filed under: uncultured bacterium
Lineage: Bacteria
Description: partial 16S ribosomal RNA
Rfam family: Bacterial small subunit ribosomal RNA
Source: RNAcentral
CGUAGGUCCCGAGCGUUGUCCGGAUUUAUUGGGCGUAAAGCGAGCGCAGGCGGUUUGAUAAGUUCUGAAGUUAAAGGCUGUGGCUCAACCAUAGUUCGCUUUGGAAACUGUCAAACUUGAGUGCAGAAGGGGAGAGUGGAAUUCCAUGUGUAGCGGUGAAAUGCGUAGAUAUAUGGAGGAACACCGGUGGCGAAAGCGGCUCUCUGGUCUGUAACUGACGCUGAGGCUCGAAAGCGUGGGGAGCGA